RNAcentral lists this ribosomal RNA (460 nucleotides) under uncultured bacterium. RNAcentral describes it as "partial 16S ribosomal RNA". It matches the Rfam family "Bacterial small subunit ribosomal RNA", at positions 338 to 795 of the family's 1533-position model. The record is from RNAcentral.
CCUACGGGAGACAGCAGUGAGGAAUAUUGGUCAAUGGACGAGAGUCUGAACCAGCCAAGUAGCGUGAAGGAUGACUGCCCUAUGGGUUGUAAACUUCUUUUAUAUAGGAAUAAAACGAGGCAUGUGUGCUUUUUUGUAUGUACUUUAUGAAUAAGGAUCGGCUAACUCCGUGCCAGCAGCCGCGGUAAUACGGAGGAUCCGUGCGUUAUCCGGAUUUAUUGGGUUUAAAGGGAGCGUAGAUGGGUUGUUAAGUCAGUUGUGAAAGUUUGCGGCUCAACCGUAAAAUUUCAAUUGAUACUGGCAGUCGUGAGUACAGUUGAGGUAGGCGGAAUUCGUUGUGUAGCGGUGAAAUGCUUAGAUAUCACGAAGAACCCCGAUUGCGAAGGCAGCUUACUGAACUGUGACUGACAUUGAUGCUCGAAAGUGUGGGUAUCAAACAGGAUUAGAUACCCAAGUAGUC